Molecule: long non-coding RNA, 2913 nt
Filed under: Capsicum annuum
Lineage: Eukaryota; Viridiplantae; Streptophyta; Magnoliopsida; Solanales; Solanaceae
Description: long non-coding RNA (CANN_LNC000117)
Source: RNAcentral
UUUAACUUCUCCUCUAUAUAUAUUAAGUGAAUGCAUAAACAACUCUCCAUGUACAUGUUAGCAGAGAAACUUAACAAAAUUGUCUCAAUGGAUAAAAAAUUUAAAGUAGCCAUCUUUGUGGUGGUCCUUUGUGUUACUACAGCCACAGCAAUUCGUCAGGGCAUUAUCACUGCCACAAAUCGUGAUGACGGUGGAAUUCAAGAGGCCUUCAAAACAUUAAAAGAUCAUCAAAGUAUUGGCAAUGUUUACGAUAAUGGUGGAAUUCUAGAGACUUUCAAAAUGAUAAAAAAUCGUUAUAGUAGUGCCCAAACUUAUGAUGAUGAUGAUGAUAGAAUUCAAGAGGGUUACAGAAUGAUAAAAAAUCGUCAAAGUAGUAGCAAUAUUCACUAUGUUCCUAUUACUACUGCUAAAAGUUAUGGUGAUUUCACUACUCGGCAUUGAAGUUGCAAAUAUACGGGCAGUAUGGUUGAGGUAAAAGUUAUAAUAGUCUCGGAAUAAAAUGAGGAUAAGAAUGUUGCCGUGUUCCUGAUGAGAAUGCUGCCAUGUCUUUGUAUCAUGUCUUAUAUAUAUGCUUUGGUUUCUGUCUAGGCCAAAUCCAUCGGUGGCCCCCUAAACUUGGCACGAACUUUCACUUAGGCAUGAACGUUGUUCACUUUUAACACCUUAAGUAGCCACAAAUUGUGUCACUUUGACACUUUUAUUGAAUCAGCAAAGAGAGUGUACUGCACUCACUGCCAACGUGGACAAAACGACCAAUUGAUUUGUGCCAACUCAUUUAAAUUGCCACAUCAUUAUUUAUAUUCACAAUUAAUUUCUAAAAAAAAGACCAAAAUACAUGAUUAUUAAUAAUUAUCCAACUUAUUAAUAUAUAUACACACAAUUAAAUUAAAGGAACCAAUUAAUUACUGACACGUGGCAUUUUAAAAAAUAAUUAUAAAAUUAUCAAUCCAACCCUCAUCCCACCCCAUCCCACCACCCCCAAACUCCAAAGUCAUCUUCUCCACCACCACCCAUCCCCAGCACCCCCAAGUCAUCUUCUCUACAUGGCAGUCCUCCUCUCCCUUUAUCUUCUCCAUUUGCCCUCCUCCACCCCCACCCCCACUCCCCAAACCCCAAAGUCAUCUUCUCCAUUCGCCCCUAACCGCCAACCAAGACAACAACCGCACCUCCGUCUGUCACACCCCUUUUUUAACUCCAAAAAGAAUUAUAUUUUAAGUUUCGAAAGGGUUUUUAUUAUGAAGUGACAAAAAUGAAGAAUUUAUUUCGAAAAAGGAUUAUUUAUAUUCAAAACUCAGAGUUGCCACUUGGCAUAAUCGGGUGUGCCAAGUCACCUUUGGAAAAUCCUUUUCAAAAUGAUUUGACUCUUUAAACUGGUUUGCAAACAGAGAUUCCGGCUAAGGAAUUCUGUUGACCGAGGGGAAGGUGUUAAGUACCCCUCGAUCCCGUGGUUCGACCACGGUCUCUUGAUGGAGCGUAUCAGCUAAUUUUGACACUAAAAAUGUAUGAACCACAUAAACACACAACACAAGCAAACAAAAAAGUCAAACAAAAUUCAAAACCGAAAUAAUAUCUAGUCCGAAUUAUACAGUCCCAAAAAUAAGAAAAUACGAAAAUAUAAAUCCUAUUCUAGACUGAUCCUAAACUAUGCUUCAAUGCUUACCCGAUGCCUCGGGCUUUCAUCACGAAUAUUUUUCGCCAACAUAAUACGUCGGGGUUUUCCCCGGUGAAUAAAUACAAUGUGUCUCGGGGGAUUCCCUGGCUAAAUGAAUACAUUUUUAGGGCAAGAAAAUCAAACCACUCAACGAACUUUCAAACAUUCAACAAAACCAAAAAUUCUAAACUUUGCCUACCCAACCUACACUUGCCUAUUACUUCCGACUUAUCAUGCUACUACCACGUUUAACAACGUCAAAAAUCAAUCAAGAUGAAAAAUUAAAUAAACCAAGUGAAAUUGCUAAUUAGCCAACUUUCAAUAUCACCCCAAAUUGCGAUCUAACCCCAAAUUGAGUCUAAGUUCUUUGAUUAUUUCAAUUCACAACAAUCAAUCGAUGGAUAUCAACAACCAACCAUGAUGAUCCAAGACAUAUGAAAAUCAAUAAAAUAAAAUCCACACACCAUGAGUUUACCACGACAAGUAUCACACAAUUAAGAAUUAAUUGAGAAUGAGAUGAAGAAUGGACCUUAAUGUCGCUUUUAUUCAAUCAAACGGAGGAGCUUCGUGGAUUCGAAACCUCGACUUAAACCCACUUUGAACAAAACCCCAUUUGGUGUUGAAUUUGACCCCAAAACAGAUUUGAAAACCAAUCGAAACCUCAAUUAUGACUAACUCGCAAACUCAAUUGACAAAUCAAGCGACCCAGUGGAAAACUUGAACGAAGCUGUUAAAUGGUGCUACUGGUUGCCAAUUUUGGUGAUGAGAGGGAUUUGGGUCGCUACUAGCACUUUGUCGAAGCUCUGGUGAGCUCGGCGCUGGAGGAAAAUCGAAGGAGACGGGAUCAAUUUUAGGCCCUAUUAGCCUUUUUCUCUCCCUUUCUCCCUAUUUCUCUAUCUCCCUGCUAGUUUCUCUCUUCUUCAAUAUUUUUGUGGGUGAGAGUGGUGUGUGCGUGAGUGGUGUGUGAUUUUGGUUGUUGUGUCUGUGAGAGUGACGAUGGAUAGAUCCCUUUAUGAUAUGUGCCAAUCUGUAUAUUGUAGUGUUAUGUGUGAAUUUUUUUGCUGAGAUGUGUGUGUACGUGUGUUCGUAUAUAGAUGAAGGUGGAGAGUAUUAUGAUCUUCUGUGAGUAAUUUCUGUUCUGUCAAUGGAAAAGGAAUCAGCAGUGGUGAGUCUCUGUGGAAUAUCAAUCAGAAAAAAAAUGGUGUAUGCAUAUAAUUGUAUAUUAUAAAAUGGUAAGAAUGAGGGAAUCUUCUAUAGGGCCC